Long non-coding RNA from Spinacia oleracea (spinach), 911 nucleotides. RefSeq lists it as uncharacterized. The transcript is spliced from 5 exons. NCBI's taxonomy places the organism in Eukaryota, Viridiplantae, Streptophyta, Magnoliopsida, Caryophyllales, Amaranthaceae. The record is from RefSeq and is a predicted model, not a curated record.
CAGCCAAAACCAAAUUAAUGAACCAAAAUCCCAGCAGUUCGUCCGCACCGCCUAAAUAAGUAAAUAUCCCACGUUCUCCAUCUUCCUCCUCCUCCCACCACGAUUUCCAUAGUUAAGGAUCGAGUUUCCAAUCGAAAUAGUUCAAUCUAAAUCCAAAUCCAAAUCCAAAAGUUCAAUCCCAAUCUAUGUUGACUCAAAUCGAAAUUUCCCAAAUCCAAAAUUACAGUGUUUCAAUCCAAACCAGAUGUUUUCGUAUUUAGCUUCUUCUCCGGCGAACGUUUCUCGGCGGCGACAAUUAUUUGGCGAAUGUAUUUCCUGGCUGCGCGUGGUUAACUAUCAAGUAUCCUCUAAACAAUGAAAAUUACAAGGGCACACGAAAAGGAGUUCAAGUUGAUUUGUGUAAGACUAUAGAUAGAGCACUUUUUGGUUUUCGAACCCAAAAAGGAUUGUUGAAGAAAAUUAAAAUGAGCACCAAUUGGAUACAGAUACAAUGUCCUCGGCAAAAGAAUGUCAUGGAUUCUGGAUAUUAUGUCAUGAGAUACAUGAAAGAUAUCAUUGACCAUAAGCAAACUCGAAUAUUUGAAGAUUACUUUCAUGAUUGCAAUGUUCCGAAUUAUGAUCAAGGACAAAUUGAUGAAGUCAGAGCUCAAUGGACGCGUCAUGUUCUUCUCAUGUGAAUAUUGUGAUGUAUUAAUUAUGUUUUUCGAAUAGAAUUUCUCUAGAACGUUUUAAUUUUAUUUUAUUGGUUUGAAAUUAAAAGAAGUACUAUAUGACAAGGAUACUUCUUUCUGUUUUGUAGUGUGUUUUUAUUCUACUGUGUAUUUAGGCAUAUAUGAUUUUAAGUUAUGUACGAGACACCGAGAAAUUUAUUUGAUAUGAUAGAAAUGAAGUUGGGUCUUAUAUGUAUUCAA